CCGUGGCUGGAACCGGUGCUAAAGGGUCCCUUUAGAACCGGCUGGUAACACGCGCCGGUGCUAAAGGGUCACCCUUUAGCACCGGUUCCAGCCGCAGA
This 98-nucleotide microRNA precursor is filed under the name Sorghum bicolor (sorghum). RNAcentral describes it as "MIR5387 microRNA precursor family". It matches the Rfam family "MIR5387 microRNA precursor family". Lineage: Eukaryota; Viridiplantae; Streptophyta; Magnoliopsida; Poales; Poaceae. The record is from Rfam by way of RNAcentral.